RNAcentral lists this ribosomal RNA (544 nucleotides) under Talaromyces minioluteus. Its description in RNAcentral is "SSU rRNA". It matches the Rfam family "Bacterial small subunit ribosomal RNA", at positions 364 to 940 of the family's 1533-position model. The record is from RNAcentral. Lineage: Eukaryota; Fungi; Ascomycota; Eurotiomycetes; Eurotiales; Trichocomaceae.
UUGGUCAAUGGCCUAACGACUGAACCAGUCACUUGGAAGAAUUUAAAUUUCUUAUAUAAUAAUAUAGCAACGAUUAAUUCGUAUAAAAUUCUAAAUAGAAUAAUGAUAAUGACAAUUUUCUAUUUAUAAGUCUUGACCAAAUUACGUGCCAGCAGUCGCGGUAAUACGUAGAAGACUAGUGUUAGUCAUCUUUAUUAGGUUUAAAGGGUACCUAGACGGUAAAUAAAACUUGAAUAGAGUACUUAUUUGCUAGAGUUUUAUAAGAGAAGGAAGAACUUCUGGAGUAGUGAUAAAAUACUUUGAUACCAGAGGGACUGGUCACGGCGAAGGCAUCCUUCUAUGUAAAAACUGACGUUGAGGGACGAAGGCUUGGGGAUCAAUAAGGAUUAGAUACCCUAGUAGUCCAAGCAGAAAAUGAUGAGUGUCAUAGGCUAGAUACAGAAUUUGGCCUAUAAAUGAAAGUGUAAGCAUUCCACCUCAAGAGUACUAUGGCUACAUAUAAACUUAAAUCAUUAGACCGUUUCUGAAACCAGUAGUGAAGUAU